The sequence is a ribosomal RNA, 436 nucleotides long. It matches the Rfam family "Bacterial small subunit ribosomal RNA", at positions 341 to 792 of the family's 1533-position model.
ACGGAAGCAGCAGUGGGGAAUAUUGGGCAAUGGGCGAAAGCCUGACCCAGCAACGCCGCGUGAAGGAAGAAGGUCUUCGGAUUGUAAACUUCUUUUAUGAGGGACGAAGGACGUGACGGUACCUCAUGAAUAAGCCACGGCUAACUACGUGCCAGCAGCCGCGGUAAUACGUAGGUGGCAAGCGUUAUCCGGAUUUACUGGGUGUAAAGGGCGCGUAGGCGGGGAUGCAAGUCAGAUGUGAAAUCUAUGGGCUUAACUCAUAAACUGCAUUUGAAACUGUGUCUCUUGAGUGUCGGAGAGGUAGAUGGAAUUCCUUGUGUAGCGGUGAAAUGCGUAGAUAUAAGGAAGAACACCAGUGGCGAAGGCGAUCUACUGGACGAUAACUGACGCUGAGGCGCGAAAGCGUGGGGAGCAAACAGGAUUAGAUACCCUGGUA